Molecule: non-coding RNA, 319 nt
Organism: Tinamus guttatus (white-throated tinamou)
Lineage: Eukaryota; Metazoa; Chordata; Aves; Tinamiformes; Tinamidae
Source: RefSeq, a predicted model, not a curated record
AAGACAGGUUGGAAAGGCCCCUCCCCUGCAGCCCUCACACAGAUUUGGGGUUGCAAAUGCUGCACACUUACGGGGUGAAGGAUUCUGUGGUGCUGCAGCUGCUUGCAGGACCUAACUCCUUCAUGCCUUGUUGGUAGCCCACUCCUCAGCCCAUCUUCACUGCAACGUGCUGGUAAGCUCAGCUAUAAGACACUACAGCACUACAGAGUUCAGCAGAUAGAUCCCUAUCGGAUCCAGCGCAGCAGAGAUGUCUCUAUUUCCUAACAGUCUUUCUAGCCAACUGCUUCCUGCAUGCUUUCGAGGUCACACUGGCUGAAGA